CCUAUUCUCUGCGGAAAAGGCGCGGUCUACAGCGAACACUAGUUAGCGAUGGCUGCCAAUUGCAAGCGUGCUUUUCCACUUUGCUACCUGGUGAAUCCAUAAUUUCAGCUGCAUUUCUAAUUGUAAUUAAUUGUGAAAAUUAGUGUCUCAAUUUAGUGGCAGCAUGUGGAAAUUUCGAAUCAAGAAUAGCAGCUAAUUACGUUUCGGCGUGUGUUGCUCAAUGCUUGGACCUGCACAAAGAAGAACCUCAGUGCAAAUUUAGUUUGACAAAAGCAAUUUCAACGGGUCCCAAGGAUGAUUGCACAAGGUGUGUCCGCGAUUUUAAGAAAAACAAUGUCAACUCUCUAAGGUCACUACAAACCUUAAUUAAAUCUAGGUCGGUGCCGAUGUGUGGAAAAAAUAUGUCAUUAUCAACCGUUGUGCCGAUGGACAACGACUUCACCGAUUUGUUGUGCGGUGUGGCGAACAAGGCAAGACGACAGUGGUAUCCAAAAUCUUCAAGCGAGAUAAAAUGCAUCAUCGAAAAAUUGCCAUCGGACUACACCAAAUCGGGACGACUCCGGUUGCAGGCGCAGCGAACAAAUUGCAGCAAAGAAUUCUAUUUCUGCGGACACGAUUUCUCCGAGCCGCUUGUCGGGGACUUCGUCUGGGCUGCGAACUCGAGCGAUAUGAGCAGUUUUACGGACAGAGCGUGCCUUUCUGUAGAGUACAAGUUGGAGAAAAAGAUUUGUGUUUCGUAUCAACUCAAGCCUGUUGACUGCGCUGAAAAAUUCCCAAUGGUGUGCGAAACGAAUGAUUAAUAAAUCUGCAGGUUUCAGCAUUUUAAUUUUAACCAAAAAUGUUCAGUUGAAAUUGAGAGCAAAAUAAACUGUAUGAAUUUCUUAAU
Molecule: long non-coding RNA, 886 nt
Organism: Cloeon dipterum
Lineage: Eukaryota; Metazoa; Arthropoda; Insecta; Ephemeroptera; Baetidae
Exons: 7
Source: RefSeq, a predicted model, not a curated record